GAUGGCUUAGUGGUUAGAGCGUCCGCCUCGGAUGCGGGAGGUCAUGGGUUCCCGUUGAGUCAUACCAAAGACA
Molecule: non-coding RNA, 73 nt
Organism: Potamilus streckersoni
Lineage: Eukaryota; Metazoa; Mollusca; Bivalvia; Unionida; Unionidae
Source: the annotation of a GenBank genome assembly